GGACGAAAAGUCUGAAGGCAGCGACGGCCGUGUGUGGGAUGAAGCCCUUUCCGGGGUGUAAACCACCUGUUGCCCCGGGACGAAACUCCUUUUUCGAGAGGAUUGACGGUACCGGGUGAGGAAGCACCGGCUAACUCUGUGCCAGCAGCCGCGGUAAUACAGAGGGUGCGAGCGUUGUCCGGAAUCACUGGGCGUAAAGGGUGCGUAGGUGGCUUGGUAAGCGUGUGGUGAAAGUCCGGGGCUCAACCCCGGAUCUGCCGUGCGAACUGCUAGGCUUGAGCAAUGUAGAGGCAGGUGGAAUUUCGGGUGUAGCGGUGGAAUGCGUAGAUAUCCGAAAGAACACCAGUGGCGAAGGCGGCCUGCUGGGCAUUUGCUGACACUGAGGCACGACAGCGUGGGGAGCAAACAGGAUUAGAUACCCUGGUAGUCCACGCCGUAAACGAUGGGUACUAGGUGUCUGGGGGAGCGACCCCCUGGGUGCCGACGCUAACGCAUGAAGUACCCCGCCUGGGGAGUACGGCCGCAAGGCUGAAACUCAAAGGAAUUGACGGGGGCCCGCACAAGCGGUGGAGCAUGUGGUUUAAUUCGACGCAACGCGAAGAACCUUAC
RNAcentral lists this ribosomal RNA (609 nucleotides) under uncultured Gemmatimonadota bacterium. RNAcentral's name for it is "bacterial SSU rRNA". It matches the Rfam family "Bacterial small subunit ribosomal RNA", at positions 373 to 974 of the family's 1533-position model. The record is from RNAcentral. Lineage: Bacteria; Pseudomonadati; Gemmatimonadota.